CAGCCGUAAACGAUGUGCGUUAGGUGUAUCGACGACCACGAGCUGUCGAGGUGCCGAAGGGAAACCGUGAAACGUACCGCCUGGGAAGUACGGUCGCAAGGCUGAAACUUAAAGGAAUUGGCGGGGGAGCACCACAACAGGUGGAGCCUGCGGUUUAAUUGGACUCAACGCCGGACAUCUCACCGGAUAAGACAGCUGAAUGAUUGCCGGGCUGAAGACUCUGCAUGACUAGCUGAGAGGUGGUGCAUGGCGUCAGUGACU
Molecule: ribosomal RNA, 261 nt
Filed under: uncultured archaeon
Lineage: Archaea
Description: partial 16S ribosomal RNA
Rfam family: Archaeal small subunit ribosomal RNA
Source: RNAcentral